Long non-coding RNA from Photinus pyralis (common eastern firefly), 491 nucleotides. RefSeq lists it as uncharacterized. The record is from RefSeq and is a predicted model, not a curated record. Lineage: Eukaryota; Metazoa; Arthropoda; Insecta; Coleoptera; Lampyridae. The transcript is spliced from 4 exons.
GUAGAAUUUACUGAUAUAUAUUCAGGAUCUGUCUACUAGCUCCCAUAUUUUGCUACUGUUUUCCGACUGAAGUAGAGUUGUUGGCGUGUUGACCGGGCUCAGUAGUUUGAUUAUUCAGAUCAGAAGUGAUCCUCCUCGAAGUUUCAGAUACAAUGCUAGGAAUUUAAUUACUUGUACAUAUUAAAUAGGCUUGUUAGGACGUUAGAACUAUAGUUAUAAGUUUGGUACGAUUCGUGAGAGUUAUCGUAAUAGGCAUCUUUGGCUAAGGGAAUUAAUGAUAAAGCUAUAACAUCUAGCUUUUCCUCAGACACCGGUCCCGGCUUUACCUAAGGUUAAGGUCAUGGGCAACGGCACUACAAACCAGCAGGUCUGAUAAACCAAUCCUUAUCUACUAUUACCAUUCCUUGCGGCGAAAGUAAAGGUCGUAUCACUAUUUAGAAAUAAUUAAUAUGUUUAAACCCUACUUUAAUUUAUUUGUGGCAUAUGUUGGA